This 494-nucleotide ribosomal RNA is filed under the name uncultured bacterium. RNAcentral's name for it is "partial 16S ribosomal RNA". It matches the Rfam family "Bacterial small subunit ribosomal RNA", at positions 28 to 507 of the family's 1533-position model. The record is from RNAcentral.
GACGAACGCUGGCGGCGUGCUUAACACAUGCAAGUCGAACGGAAAGGCCUGCUUUCCCUUGUGGAUUGCGGGUACUCGAGUGGCGAACGGGUGAGUAACACGUGAGUGAUCUGCCCCCAACUUGGUUAUAAGCCUGGGAAACUGGGUCUAAUUCCCGAUAGGACUGCAGGGUGGUGCCUGUGGUGGAAAACGAUUUUCUAGUGGUUGGGGAUGAGCUCGCGGCCUAUCAGCUUGUUGGUGGGGUAAUGGCCUACCAAGGCGGCGACGGGUAGCCGGCCUGAGAGGGUGGACGGCCACAUUGGGACUGAGAUACGGCCCGGACUCCUACGGGAGGCAGCAGUGGGGAAUCUUGCACAAUGGGCGGAAGCCUGAUGCAGCGACGCCGCGUGGGGGAUGACGGCCUUCGGGUUGUAAACUCCUUUCGACCGCGAGGAAGCCACCUGGUUGGAAGGGUGGUGACGGUAGUGGUAGAAGAAGCACCGGCUAACUACGUG